GACGAACGCUGGCGGCGUGCUUAACACAUGCAAGUCGAACGGUAAGGCACUUCGGGGUACACGAGUGGCGAACGGGUGAGUAACACGUGGGUGAUCUGCCCUGCACUUCGGGAUAAGCCUGGGAAACUGGGUCUAAUACCGGAUAGGACUCCGGACUGCAUGGUCUGGGGUGGAAAGCUUUUGCGGUGUGGGAUGGGCCCGCGGCCUAUCAGCUUGUUGGUGGGGUGAUGGCCUACCAAGGCGACGACGGGUAGCCGGCCUGAGAGGGUGACCGGCCACACUGGGACUGAGAUGCGGCCCAGACUCCUACGGGAGGCAGCAGUGGGGAAUAUUGCACAAUGGGCGCAAGCCUGAUGCAGCGACGCCGCGUGAGGGAUGACGGCCUUCGGGUUGUAAACCUCUUUCAGCAUCGACGAAGCGAAAGUGACGGUAGGUGCAGAAGAAGGACUGGCCAACUACGUGCCAGCAGCCGCGGUAA
Molecule: ribosomal RNA, 478 nt
Filed under: uncultured bacterium
Lineage: Bacteria
Description: partial 16S ribosomal RNA
Rfam family: Bacterial small subunit ribosomal RNA
Source: RNAcentral